AUUGAACGCUGGCGGCAGGCCUAACACAUGCAAGUCGAACGGUAACAGGAAACAGCUUGCUGUUUCGCUGACGAGUGGCGGACGGGUGAGUAAUGUCUGGGAAACUGCCUGUUGGAGGGGGAUAACUACUGGAAACGGUAGCUAAUACCGCAUAACGUCGCAAGACCAAAGAGGGGGACCCUCGGGCCUCUUGCCAUCGGAUGUGCCCAGAUGGGAUUAGCUUGUUGGUGGGGUAACGGCUCACCAAGGCGACGAUCCCUAGCUGGUCUGAGAGGAUGACCAGCCACACUGGAACUGAGACACGGUCCAGACUCCUACGGGAGGCAGCAGUGGGGAAUAUUGCACAAUGGGCGCAAGCCUGAUGCAGCCAUGCCGCGUGUAUGAAGAAGGCCUUCGGGUUGUAAAGUACUUUCAGCGGGGAGGAAGGGAGUAAAGUUAAUACCUUUGCUCAUUGACGUUACCCGCAGAAGAAGCACCGGCUAACUCCGUG
Molecule: ribosomal RNA, 490 nt
Filed under: uncultured bacterium
Lineage: Bacteria
Description: partial 16S ribosomal RNA
Rfam family: Bacterial small subunit ribosomal RNA
Source: RNAcentral